This 433-nucleotide ribosomal RNA is filed under the name uncultured bacterium. RNAcentral's name for it is "partial 16S ribosomal RNA". It matches the Rfam family "Bacterial small subunit ribosomal RNA", at positions 29 to 507 of the family's 1533-position model. The record is from RNAcentral.
AACGAACGCUGGCGGCAUGCCUAACACAUGCAAGUCGAACGAGACCUUCGGGUCUAGUGGCGCACGGGUGCGUAACGCGUGGGAACCUGCCCUUAGGUUCGGAAUAACUCCCCGAAAGGGGUGCUAAUACCGGAUAAUGUCUUCGGACCAAAGAUUUAUCGCCUUUGGAUGGGCCCUCGUUGGAUUAGCUAGUUGGUAGGGUAAAAGCCUACCAAGGCGACGAUCCAUAGCUGGUCUGAGAGGAUGAUCAGCCACACUGGGACUGAGACACGGCCCAGACUCCUACGGGAGGCAGGAGUGGGGAAUAUUGGAAAAUGGGCUAAAGCCUGAUCCAGCAAGGCCGGGUGAGCGAUGAAGGCAUUAGGGUUGUAAAGCUCUUUUACCCGGGACGAUAAUGACAGUACCGGGAGAAUAAGCUCCGGCUAACUCCGUG